RNAcentral lists this unclassified non-coding RNA (215 nucleotides) under Hevea brasiliensis (rubber tree). The record is from RNAcentral. Lineage: Eukaryota; Viridiplantae; Streptophyta; Magnoliopsida; Malpighiales; Euphorbiaceae.
GGAUGAAUCUCUGAUAGAGUGUUUUAAGGGAGACACAUUUACUUGGACUCACAAAGCAGUUCUCAAAUAAAUCAUAACAGCCAUGACAAACCUGUUCUAGUACUGCCAUAUUUUGAAAAGCUGUUUGGAAUGUGAUGCAUCCCAUGUUGAAUAGGAGUUGUUCUCAACCAGGACAAACCUGUGGCGUGUUUCUAUUAUUUUAUCUAAUCUUUAUU